This 1250-nucleotide ribosomal RNA is filed under the name Salmonella enterica subsp. enterica serovar Give. RNAcentral's name for it is "partial 23S ribosomal RNA". It matches the Rfam family "Bacterial large subunit ribosomal RNA", at positions 1 to 1191 of the family's 2925-position model. RNAcentral also lists the same sequence under 1 other name. The record is from RNAcentral. Lineage: Bacteria; Pseudomonadati; Pseudomonadota; Gammaproteobacteria; Enterobacterales; Enterobacteriaceae.
GGUUAAGCGACUAAGCGUACACGGUGGAUGCCCUGGCAGUCAGAGGCGAUGAAGGACGUGCUAAUCUGCGAUAAGCGCCGGUAAGGUGAUAUGAACCGUUAUAACCGGCGAUUUCCGAAUGGGGAAACCCAGUGUGACUCGUCACACUAUCAUUAACUGAAUCCAUAGGUUAAUGAGGCGAACCGGGGGAACUGAAACAUCUAAGUACCCCGAGGAAAAGAAAUCAACCGAGAUUCCCCCAGUAGCGGCGAGCGAACGGGGAGGAGCCCAGAGCCUGAAUCAGCAUGUGUGUUAGUGGAAGCGUCUGGAAAGGCGCGCGAUACAGGGUGACAGCCCCGUACACAAAAGCGCAUGUGCUGUGAGCUCGAUGAGUAGGGCGGGACACGUGGUAUCCUGUCUGAAUAUGGGGGGACCAUCCUCCAAGGCUAAAUACUCCUGACUGACCGAUAGUGAACCAGUACCGUGAGGGAAAGGCGAAAAGAACCCCGGCGAGGGGAGUGAAAAAGAACCUGAAACCGUGUACGUACAAGCAGUGGGAGCCCCACCACUAAGCCAGUGGUGAACUCCACAUACGCAUCCUUUGCUGAGGAUACGGUUAACGGAGCGAAAGCGACGUUCAACCUCAAAAGAAGCAGAGGGGGCUUAGUGGUGGGGUGACUGCGUACCUUUUGUAUAAUGGGUCAGCGACUUAUAUUCUGUAGCAAGGUUAACCGAAUAGGGGAGCCGGAGGGAAACCGAGUCUUAAUUGGGCGUUAAGUUGCAGGGUAUAGACCCGAAACCCGGUGAUCUAGCCAUGGGCAGGUUGAAGGUUGGGUAACACUAACUGGAGGACCGAACCGACUAAUGUUGAAAAAUUAGCGGAUGACCUGUGGCUGGGGGUGAAAGGCCAAUCAAACCGGGAGAUAGCUGGUUCUCCCCGAAAGCUAUUUAGGUAGCGCCUCGUGAAUUCAUCUCCGGGGGUAGAGCACUGUUUCGGCUAGGGGGCCAUCCCGGCUUACCAACCCGAUGCAAACUGCGAAUACCGGAGAAUGUUAUCACGGGAGACACACGGCGGGUGCUAACGUCCGUCGUGAAGAGGGAAACAACCCAGACCGCCAGCUAAGGUCCCAAAGUCAUGGUUAAGUGGGAAACGAUGUGGGAAGGCCCAGACAGCCAGGAUGUUGGCUUAGAAGCAGCCAUCAUUUAAAGAAAGCGUAAUAGCUCACUGGUCGAGUCGGCCUGCGCGGAAGAUGUAACGGGGCUAAACCAUG